ACGGGAGGCAGCAGUGGGGAAUAUUGCACAAUGGGCGAAAGCCUGAUGCAGCAACGCCGCGUGAGGGAAGACGGUUUUCGGAUUGUAAACCUCUGUUUUCGGUGACGAACAAAUGACGGUAACCGAGUAGGAAGCCACGGCUAACUACGUGCCAGCAGCCGCGGUAAUACGUAGGUGGCAAGCGUUAUCCGGAAUUACUGGGUGUAAAGGGAGCGCAGGCGGGAUAGCAAGUCAGCUGUGAAAACUAUGGGCUCAACCCAUAAACUGCAGUUGAAACUGUUAUUCUUGAGUGGAGUAGAGGCAAGCGGAAUUCCGAGUGUAGCGGUGAAAUGCGUAGAUAUUCGGAGGAACACCAGUGGCGAAGGCGGCUUGCUGGGCUCUAACUGACGCUGAGGCUCGAAAGUGUGGGGAGCAAACAGGAUUAGAUACCCUGGUA
This 436-nucleotide ribosomal RNA is filed under the name uncultured Oscillospiraceae bacterium. RNAcentral's name for it is "bacterial SSU rRNA". It matches the Rfam family "Bacterial small subunit ribosomal RNA", at positions 341 to 792 of the family's 1533-position model. The record is from RNAcentral. Lineage: Bacteria; Bacillati; Bacillota; Clostridia; Eubacteriales; Oscillospiraceae.